AUAUUACAAAAUUUCACGGAUCGCGUAAGCCUGCUUCCUUUUGAUUUCCAGCACGUCUCGGGACUUCACAGAUUGUGCAACAAAGGGUGCCAAGUAUUUCGAAGCGGCCAAUCAAAGGUUGCAUAUCAUCAAGUAAUAAUCCCCGGACGAAAUUAGGGUAUGACAAGUCCUAAUUCUGUAAUUCAUUUAACCAACACAUUCU
RNAcentral lists this long non-coding RNA (202 nucleotides) under Glycine max (soybean). RNAcentral's name for it is "long non-coding RNA (GMAX_LNC003660)". Lineage: Eukaryota; Viridiplantae; Streptophyta; Magnoliopsida; Fabales; Fabaceae. The record is from RNAcentral.